UGUACAUAUCAAAAUCUGCAAGAAAGUAAAACGAACUCAUUAUUUAUUUUAGAAACAUGAUGUAUGUGUUAUAUAUAGAAUUUCUAAAUGCUUGAUGAUGAGAAAGCUGCAAACUAAGUCAGAUACAGCACUGACCUAGAAAGCAUUGAGACCCUGCACUAUAUGUGAUAAGUACAAAUGCUUUUCUAACUUUAUUUACUUUUAACUUGCUGGCCGAUCUUUUCUUUUGUGUGAUAGAAUCAGCUCCUAAAGUGUACCGUGGCCUACAUCUGUGAAUUUAAACUAAGGAAAUGAUACUUAAAAGUGGAUCUGUGAUCGUGCCUGCUGCUCCUUUGGAUGCAUAAACAGCUCCUGUUCUCACUGAAGAAAUAUAGAAGAGGAAGUGGAGGAGCUUGGUUUCCAAGGAAAGAAGCUGGAGAACAGUGCAGAAAGAAGAAAGCUGUGAAUGAAAUAGAGGGCAAGUGGAAGUCAGACCUUUAUUCUCAUUGCUGCAUCCAUUGCUGUCUUGGGGCAGUGAAGAGGGCUCCUGUUUGCCUCUCUGCACAGUUUCACUGA
RNAcentral lists this long non-coding RNA (555 nucleotides) under Chloebia gouldiae (Gouldian finch). RNAcentral's name for it is "Erythrura gouldiae (Gouldian finch) lncRNA (ENSEGOG00005010382.1)". The record is from RNAcentral. Lineage: Eukaryota; Metazoa; Chordata; Aves; Passeriformes; Passeridae.